This 414-nucleotide ribosomal RNA is filed under the name uncultured bacterium. Its description in RNAcentral is "bacterial SSU rRNA". It matches the Rfam family "Bacterial small subunit ribosomal RNA", at positions 37 to 450 of the family's 1533-position model. The record is from RNAcentral.
UGGCGGCGUGCUUAACACAUGCAAGUCGAACGAUGAAGUUCUCUUCGGAGAGCGGAUUAGUGGCGAACGGGUGAGGAACACGUGAAGAAUCUGCCCUCCACUUUGGGAUAACUCCGGGAAACCGGGGCUAAUACCGAAUAUUGAAGCAUAAGCGGCAUCGCUGAGCUUUGAAAGAAUUUCGGUGGAGGAUGACUUCGCGGCCUAUCAGCUUGUUGGUGAGGUAAUGGCUCACCAAGGCUACGACGGGUAUCCGGCCUGAGAGGGCGACCGGACACACUGGGACUGAGACACGGCCCAGACUCCUACGGGAGGCAGCAGUGGGGAAUAUUGGGCAAUGGACGCAAGUCUGACCCAGCGACGCCGCGUGAGGGAUGAAGGCCUUCGGGUUGUAAACCUCUUUCAGUAGGGAAGAAG